RNAcentral lists this long non-coding RNA (275 nucleotides) under Phaseolus vulgaris (common bean). RNAcentral's name for it is "long non-coding RNA (PVUL_LNC002125)". The record is from RNAcentral. Lineage: Eukaryota; Viridiplantae; Streptophyta; Magnoliopsida; Fabales; Fabaceae.
UGUCAUUUCAAUUCCUUACUUGUCUUGCUGUUUUUUAUAUUUUUAAUUUGUUCUUGGUGUGCUUUGUGGAAGAUCCAACCCAAGCACUCUUGUUCAUUUGAUCUUGAACAAGUUCUUGUGCAAUUUGUGAUAGGAUUCCAUACACCUUUGUGUUGCUAUUUUUGUUUUAGGCUUUGAGUCUUUAUUGCUUUCAUUAUUUUGCUUCAUAUUAUGCUUUGAGUCUUUAAAUUUCUGAAUCUAUACAUGUUUUGUCAAGUCAUGUUCAUCCAUAUUGU